CUUCGGACGUUUUCUUUCUCACUCCCUCUACAAAACCUAGAAAUGUAGUACAGGAGGCAGGGAAAAAAAAGUCUUUUUAACUUAAAAUCAUGUAAAUGCUAUCUGCAACAUUAAAAGAAACCUGCUCCUAGUGAUACAGCUAGUAAUAAAACACAAAAGAUUUGUAUCGGUUCUAGUGUAACAUUGUACCUGCUGAUACUGUGGUUUCGGUAGAUGUCAGCUGGGGAAUAUAUAGGCUGAAGGAAAGUUUGUUGACAGAAAUUGGGAAACUUUGAUUUUUUUUCCCCCAGUUACCUUUUUUUUUCCCCUUUCCUUUUCUUCCCAUUCCUGUUUAGGCUCAUAAUCUUCCAAAAGCUACUGCAGCAGACCACACAUUUCUUCUGAAGGAUCCAGAUGCUCAAAUGAUGCAAAGAAACGUGGCCUACUGUCAGAGCAGACCUGAUGCUGAGGAGCAAAUUAGAGAUUGCAGACAAAACCUUACGAGGUUUGGUCAGAAAUUCGUAACAGGGCUGUUGGAAGAAGUACUGGAAGUGAGGCUGGACUGGCAACAAAUCCACACUGUAUUUUGGCAAAAAAGGGACACAGUUAGGUUGAUUACUCCCCUGUCUUGUAGAUUACAAUGACUGAUUUGGGAUCAGCACCCCAAAGUCUUCCUCCCAAGGGUGCUGAGCGGAGCGGGGGUGGGCAGGGCUGCACCCCCGUGUCACAAUGCCACCACCCAGCAAUGCUGAGGUCACAAUGCUCCGGGCAGGAUCAAAAGGAGCAGCCGGGUCUCGUGUCCACUGCCAGAGCUGGCCCGGGGGCAGCCCCAACACAUCCCACAGGAAGCACUUGAGGAGCUGCUGGAAUCACAGGGCAGGGGCUGAGGGAGGAAGACUUUGCAUGAGGCUGCAGAAGGUUCUCCACUUCAAGGUGAUCUGCUGGCAGGGCCACCUUCCAAGCUCAGCUCAAGGAUGGAAAUCCUUUUCAGCUGGAUGGCAGUGGAGAGAGCAAGGGAAUUUCUUCUGGAGGAGCACAGCAGAGCUCACCAUCCUCAUCCCCUGCGGAGUCAGGCUCAGGAGCCGUAAGAAAUAGGAGGUAGAGGGGUUGCCAGGGGUUGCAGUGCUUUGGAACACCCACUGGUGUCCCACCAGGCACAGAAACGAUUCUUGCCCCCAAGGUCCAUCAGGUCAGAGGCAUUUGGGCACUCUCGGAAGUCCGGGAGAUGGCUCCAGCUCAAGGGAGGAUAGGAUAGGAUAGGAUAGGAUAGGAUAGGAUAGGAUAGGAUAGGAUAGGAUAAGGCUUGGGCAGGUCCUGGGAGGCAUGAGCAGCCUGUGGGACAAGGAGCCAGGUCUGGCUCACAUGCUCAGGGAACAGCCGAUCGCCAGCACUGGGGUCAGGAAGGAAUUUUUUCCCCCGGGGCAGAUUGGCCCUGGUCCCCGGGGGUUUUUUGCCUUCCUCUGCAGCAUUGAGCAUGACCACUUUGCAGAGCUCCUCUGGGCCCUUUUGGCUCGGUUCCUACCUGCUGCUCAAGCACCAGGAAGAUGGCCUCUCGUGCCCUGCAGCUGGGGGGAGGAAGGCUUUUUUUUCCCCCAUGUGGGACACCAAGUGUCUCUGGGGGUUUUUUGCCUUCCUCUGCAGCAUUGAGCACGGCCCCUUGCCACGGCUUCUUUGGGCCAUUUGGGCUGGGUGCCUGCUGCUCCACGAGGUGGCCCUAAACUUAGCUAGAACAGCCUACCUAAACCAGCAUAGAACAACUAACCUAAACCAACCUUAAACAACUUGAAAUAACCAACGUUAAAGAACCUAAACCAAUCUAGCUUCAAAAUCUUAAAACAACCAACUCUGAACAAUGGAAAAAGAACUUUCAACAAUCUACAACAUACCACCUGAACCAACCUAAAUCAACCUCAAGCAACCAACCGAAACCAAAGCCAAACAAACAACCUUCAAUGACCUCCAAGAACCCAGCUUCAACAACUUGAAGCGUCUGAGAAACAGACAACCUACAAACACACAACCAGCCUCAGACAGCACAAAACAACAAACCCCAAACAACCUCAACCAAGCUAAGCCAAAUGACCAAAAAACCCUCAACCACCAAACAACCAAAACCAAACCUACCAAAAAACACAAUCUAAACGACCUAUUCAACCUAAACCACCAGAAAACACCUCAACAGCCUCAAACAGCCUACCCAAAUCAAGUCACCUAACCCAAACUACCUAAAAAAACCUAAAUCAACCUCAACCAAACAACCCGAACCAACCUCAACACAAACCCUUCAAGCGACCUCAACGAUGGAAACCAAACCUCCCUAGACCAACCUACCUAAAAGCACAAACAUCCACCAACCUACCUGAACUGCCUUCUGAAAAAAACAGAAACAAAUCAAACCAACCUCAAAGAACCAACCGAAGCCACCCAUCCUCAAAUUAUCUAAACAGCCCCAACCAAACCACCUACACCAACCUCAAACAAAAUA
Columba livia (rock pigeon) is the source of this 2464-nucleotide long non-coding RNA. RefSeq lists it as uncharacterized. Lineage: Eukaryota; Metazoa; Chordata; Aves; Columbiformes; Columbidae. The record is from RefSeq and is a predicted model, not a curated record. The transcript has 2 exons.